Molecule: ribosomal RNA, 450 nt
Filed under: Micropechis ikaheca
Lineage: Eukaryota; Metazoa; Chordata; Lepidosauria; Squamata; Elapidae
Description: partial 16S ribosomal RNA
Rfam family: Bacterial large subunit ribosomal RNA
Source: RNAcentral
UAUUAAAGGCAACGCCUGCCCAGUGAAUAAUUAAACGGCCGCGGUACCCUAACCGUGCAAAGGUAGCGUAAUCACUUGUCUAUUAAUUGUAGACCUGCAUGAAAGGCAUAAUGAGGGCCUAACUGUCUCUUUUAGCAAAUCAAUUAAACUGAUCUCCUAGUCCAAAAGCUAGAAUGUCAACAUAAGACCAGAAGACCCUGUGAAACUUUAACUAAACUAUUAAACCUAAUAAUAGAUCCUUUCGGUUGGGGCGACCUUGGAAAAAAAAAGAACUUCCAAAUUAAGAUAUAAAAUAUCAACACAGGCUCACAAGCCCACAACGACCCAGCACUGCUGAUUAUUGAACCAAGCUACUCCAGGGAUAACAGCGCUAUCUUCUUCAAGAGCCCAUAUCAAAAAGAAGGUUUACGACCUCGAUGUUGGAUCAGGACAUCCUAAUGGUGCAGCCGC